Molecule: ribosomal RNA, 468 nt
Filed under: uncultured bacterium
Lineage: Bacteria
Description: partial 16S ribosomal RNA
Rfam family: Bacterial small subunit ribosomal RNA
Source: RNAcentral
GACGAACGCUGGCGGCGUGCUUAACACAUGCAAGUCGAACGGAAAGGCCCUGCUUUUGUUGGGUUCUCGAUUGGCGAACGGGUGAGUGACACGUGAGUAACCUGCCCUUGACUUUGGGAUAACUUCAGGAAACUGGGGCUAAUAUCGGAUAGGAUCUCCUGCUGCAUGGUGGGGGUUGGAAAGUUUCGGCGGUUGGGGAUGGACUCGCGGCUUAUCAGCUUGUUGGGGAGGUAGUGGCUUACCAAGGCUUUGACGGGUAGCCGGCCUGAGAGGGUGACCGGCCACAUUGGGACUGCGAUACGGCCCAGAAUCCUACGGGAGGCAGCAGUGGGGAAUAUUGCACAAUGGGCGGAAGCCUGAUGCAGAAACGCCGCGUGCGGGAUGACGGCCUUCGGGUUGUAAACCGAUUUCGCAUGUGACGAAGAGUGCGUGACGGUAAUGGGUAAAGAAGCACCGGCUAACUACGUG